Gallus gallus (chicken) is the source of this 3931-nucleotide long non-coding RNA. The record is from Ensembl. Lineage: Eukaryota; Metazoa; Chordata; Aves; Galliformes; Phasianidae.
GGGGGGGGGUUCACCCAUUCCCCCCUACACCGCAGCCCCCCCCCCAGCUGUGCAUCAGCGCCCUGCAGAGCAUUGACCUCCCGGCCAUGUGCCCCACCUGGGCCAGGCCCUGCGGGGGAUUCCCAGCUCUUCCCGCACACUCACUCACUCACUCACCCUAAGGCUACGGAGAUCAGCUCUCGGCUCACCCGUUGCCUCCCAUACCCACCCCAUCCUGCUCAAAGUCCACAGGCCCCAUUCUCAAGCUUUAUUUUUGCCAUUUUCCACACCGUUCUCUCACCCCGCCCCCCGUUCAGCCCUACGGGAUUGUAUUUCCACUGCAAGACCCCUCCGUGCCUGGCCCAGAAACCCCCACCCCAGGUCCCCCCCUCCCUGUUUGCCCUGCACACAUCCCACUAAACAUUAACUCCUGCGGGUCAAACCACCACCCCCAGCUCUGCCCUUGUGCUCCCGAGCUCUGAUCCACGGGGAGGGACUUUCAGCCCAUCCUUGCGACGAUCCCCUUAAACUUCUCCAUCGUUUCUCCACCGAGAUAAGAGCCGUCAGGAACCGCCUUCUUCUUUCCAUUCCGUUCGGUUGGCAGCUAAGAGGAACGUUCUCCAGUUGCUGGAAUGCUUCGUGCAAGCCUUGCUUGCUCCUCUCCUCUCGGUUACCUUUGGACAUGGAGGUGCUGAGCUCUGAGCUGCUGCUUCUGCACUCUGCUCUGCUCCUUCCCACCACCAUUUCACCAUCAGUCUGCGCUCAGCCCCACCUGCCCUGUGCCCACAGCACCCCCCCAUCCCAUGCCAUGAGCUGCUGAGGGCUGUGGGGCCGAUGGGAGCAGCUCACAGCUGCUGCAGCUCUCUGCAGAGGGCAGAUGUGGCAAAAGCAGAUCUGACUGCGAGACGUCUCCUCCUCCCACAUCCCCGAAUAUUUCGUUCGAUAGGCAUAAAAAAGCCCCCCCAAAAACUCCCAGAGGCGGCCAAGAACAGUGCAGAUGUGGCCCGUGGGGACACAGUGGGGUGGGUUGGUGCUCUCUGAGGUCCUCCCCAUCCUUUGUGGCUCUGUGCAGCCUGAGCCGAUGCCAUCCCGAAGCUCCAUAAGGAAUGCUGUGCAUGGGCUCCCGAAGUCACCCCAGCAACUGCAACAGCAGCUCCAAACGCUGUCACUUUUGCCCACGCUGCGCUCUCAGCCCUUUUGGGAAGUCACUGCGUCACGUCCCACAACACCCAGGGAAGUGCCAGCUCUUAUUUCAAGCUUUUCUUUCGGCAAAUCUGGUUUCUAGAUGUUAUGCCUGUGCUCUGUUCCAUUUUCAGCACAGGCAGCUCAGGCUUUUUCUUCUUUCCUUCGCUUCUUAAUUUCACUCGUGACCCUAAGUUACCUCCUUUUUUAACCUGUGUAAUUAGCAAGUCCUUAAAACACUCGGCUUCAUUAACAGAACACGGAUUACAUAAAUUAGACGCAUUCUUUAGCACAACUCCACUUGCCUACCAAAAACUCCAUCGCCACAAUGAAGAACAGUGGAGGAGUGGCACCCGGGGGCAGUCGGUGGGCACUGUGGGGUGGGUUUGGUCAUCUUAGAGGUCUUUUCCAGUCCUAAUGAUGCUGUGAUUCUAAGAUCCAACUUCCCCGAACACAACUGAAAGGAGAAGGCUGGCACUGCUGCUUCCAAGCCCACCUGCACAAUGCUUGCUUACGGCUUCCCCAUUUCCUAUCAGGGCUCGCUCCCAAUUCCCUCUGCUGCUGCUCUGCAGCCAUUUGCCAAGCAGCCCCAAGUUGGGGAGCUGCCCCCAAGAGCUGCUGUGGGUCUCACACCUCUCAGCUGUGCCUCCAGCACAGCCCUCUGCUGUCUGCAGUCGCUGUGCAAAGAGGGCUCAGCACUGUGCUGGCACCGUCCUCAGCUGAGCAUCCUCAGAGCAUGGCUGUCACCCAAAGCCACCCCCUGCACACAGGCAGGGAGUUAAGAACGCUGUACUGAAGGCAAAGCAGAGGUGUAAGAGCACAUUAAGCCGUUUUCUGGAUGUGGAAAUAGAUCAAUAUAACUACAGCAAAGUUAUUAUUACCACCGUAGCCACGCGAGUGUAACUCCCUCCAUAAUUCUGUGACAGCCACUUCUAUUUCAGGUCAAGUGUGCAAAUGCAGAACUUGCAACACCCUACCGAGAAUAUUAACUGUUACAAAGACCAAGUCCUAAAGAGAGAAUACCUGAAGGUACAGGGACGGGGCGGGGAGGGGGGGAAAGCCCCACGCUUGUCUCCAGUUCCUUUAAUCACAGCACAUUAGCCAAAUGUGAUACACGGGAUCCAGCCUUUAGGUGGGGAGCGUGUUUUGCAGUGGCUCUCCUAACUCUUCAGGAGCUCUAACUCGACUUUCUGCACUGCUCUCCGAGCAAAAGGAAUCAUGCAAACAUCAUGCAAAGAACACACGCUUUGAGCACAGCGCGGGAGAGGUGGUGCAGCCUGGAGAAGGACUAUAAAAAAAGCCCUCGGUGGUGUGUGGGAAGGCUUAGGGGAAUAUUUCAGCACAUCAGGAGCUGAAUCACUGCAUGUAGGUGGAGCCAGACAGAUUGACAAGAUCUGCAACUUGAAAAAUGACCUAAGCCUGAGAUCAAUCAUCUCGCAAAGUCGCUGACGGAGGGGAACAACAGAUGGAUGUGGAUGGAGGUGAGGAGGCUCCACGUCAGCGUGGCGUGGAAAAAUGCACUGGGCACACACACUGUGCUGACCAACCCGUGUGCCCCCCCGUGCACACACAGAUGCAUCCCGUGCAGUGCAAAAGGCUGAGCACACCUCUUCUCCUGUCACCUCCCAGCGUCAGCGCCACCAAAACUUUCUCUCCUGCUGCAGCAGCACAUCAGGAAGGCACGCUGGGGGAAGCCGUGAGCAGACGUCUCGUUGCCAUGCAUGGGAUUAAUGAAGGAUGCAGCUUCCAGGUAAUGACUGGGAGAAGUCGUGGAGCAGCACUUGAUGCAAAGCUAGGAAUUUAUUGCACAUCAGAUAAAAGCACGAAAAAUAAACGAUUGUAAACCAAGCUUUCAAGUUUUACAGCCCUUCAGAUCAUUGCAUCGCAGUCAAAUCUGCUUCACGGGCUGAUCCAGGACAUAAAACUGUACUCAAAUUACAAGCAAACCCGAGUAAUAACUUCCUAAUUUCCUUCAGAAAGCCCAAACUCGGGGCCUAUUCAUCGCAAGAGCUGUACUUUGUCCAUGCAAAUGCACACAGCUCUCCUCAGCUGAGCAGUUCCUGAGCUCUGCCACUAGAGACAAACCACCACCAGGUCACUCCCUGCCCUACUAUUCCAGUUCUGCACCAUCUCGAAGCAUUUCCCUUUGUGACCCCGCGAGGUACCAAGAACGCACUCAACAUUAAGAGAUUAACUGAAUGGAUUCAAUGAUGGCUUGCCUUGUUUGGUAAAUAAAACUUAUUAGCAGCCGUUGGCACUGGGUCUGUGUCAUCAAUACUCAAUGACAAAGCCAGCCCGUAACCCUGGCAAUCAUUUCUAAUGCCAUUUGGCAGGUCACGCUGGAGUUCAAAAUGUUAUGGCUGCAGAUCAGCCCUCAGCAGACACUGCUCUGUGCUGCUCUCACACGCAGCAGCUGGCCAUGGGGUUAAACAAAAGGGCAAUGCUCUGCCCUCAUUAGUUCAAGGCAGCACGGCUGAUCUCUGAUCAUCCGAGGGCAAACCUGAGCUUUUCGCUCGCUGCAUCCAACCCAGGGUGUGAUAUUCUGGCUUACAGCAGGGAGCUGUGGUGCAUAUCGUGGCUCUGAUAAGUCUGUGUGGUGUGUGACAGCAGCUAUGAACAUGCACUUCAUUGGAUAGGGGGUAACUGCACCUUAUGGACAGGGUGUGAGCCAAAGAUUUGCAUGGGCGCCCUGACUCCUGGAGUUUGGUCUUACAUUUGGGAUUGCAUGCAUACAAACAGGGCUGACUGGAGAGUUAACCCUAAAAACCUG